UAGGGAAUCUUCCGCAAUGGGCGAAAGCCUGACGGAGCAACGCCGCGUGAGUGAUGAAGGUCUUCGGAUCGUAAAACUCUGUUAUUAGGGAAGAACAAAUGUGUAAGUAACUAUGCACGUCUUGACGGUACCUAAUCAGAAAGCCACGGCUAACUACGUGCAAGCAGCCGCGGUAAUACGUAGGUGGCAAGCGUUAUCCGGAAUUAUUGGGCGUACAGCGCGCGUAGGCGGUUUUUUAAGUCUGAUGUGAAAGCCCACGGCUCAACCGUGGAGGGUCAUUGGAAACUGGAAAACUUGAGUGCAGAAGAGGAAAGUGGAAUUCCAUGUGUAGCGGUGAAAUGCGCAGAGAUAUGGAGGAACUCCAGUGGCGAAGGCUACUUUCUGGUCUGUAACUGACGCUGAUGUGCGAAAGCGUGGGGAUCAAACAGG
This 429-nucleotide ribosomal RNA is filed under the name Actinomycetes bacterium. Its description in RNAcentral is "Actinobacteria bacterium partial 16S ribosomal RNA". It matches the Rfam family "Bacterial small subunit ribosomal RNA", at positions 355 to 776 of the family's 1533-position model. Lineage: Bacteria; Bacillati; Actinomycetota; Actinomycetes. The record is from RNAcentral.